RNAcentral lists this transfer RNA (71 nucleotides) under Candidatus Giovannonibacteria bacterium RIFCSPHIGHO2_01_FULL_43_140. RNAcentral describes it as "tRNA-Ala". It matches the Rfam family "tRNA". Rfam says of the family: Transfer RNA (tRNA) molecules are approximately 80 nucleotides in length. The record is from RNAcentral. RNAcentral also lists the same sequence under 5 other names. Lineage: Bacteria; Candidatus Giovannoniibacteriota.
GGGCCUAUAGUAAAAUGGUAUUACGCGUCCAUGGCAUGGACGAGGUGCGAGUUCGAUUCUCGCUAGGUCCA